AUGAAUGACCGAGCGGUUUAAGGUGUUAGUUUUGAAAACUAAACUAUUUUAACGAUAGCGUGAGUUCGAAUCUCACUUC
This 79-nucleotide transfer RNA is filed under the name Hemiselmis tepida. It matches the Rfam family "tRNA", at positions 5 to 66 of the family's 71-position model. From Rfam's summary of the family: Transfer RNA (tRNA) molecules are approximately 80 nucleotides in length. Their secondary structure includes four short double-helical elements and three loops (D, anti-codon, and T loops). Further hydrogen bonds mediate the characteristic L-shaped molecular structure. tRNAs have two regions of fundamental functional importance: the anti-codon, which is responsible for specific mRNA codon recognition, and the 3' end, to which the tRNAs corresponding amino acid is attached (by aminoacyl-tRNA synthetases). tRNAs cope with the degeneracy of the genetic code in two manners: having more than one tRNA (with a specific anti-codon) for a particular amino acid; and 'wobble' base-pairing, i.e. permitting non-standard base-pairing at the 3rd anti-codon position. The record is from RNAcentral. Lineage: Eukaryota; Cryptophyceae; Cryptomonadales; Hemiselmidaceae.